Molecule: ribosomal RNA, 293 nt
Filed under: uncultured bacterium
Lineage: Bacteria
Description: partial 16S ribosomal RNA
Rfam family: Bacterial small subunit ribosomal RNA
Source: RNAcentral
GGAUUAGAUACCCUGGUAGUCCACGCCGUAAACGAUGUCUACUAGCCGUUGGGAGACUUGAUCUCUUAGUGGCGCAGCUAACGCGAUAAGUAGACCGCCUGGGGAGUACGGCCGCAAGGUUAAAACUCAAAUGAAUUGACGGGGGCCCGCACAAGCGGUGGAGCAUGUGGUUUAAUUCGAAGCAACGCGAAGAACCUUACCUACUCUUGACAUCCAGAGAAUUCGCUAGAGAUAGCUUAGUGCCUUCGGGAACUCUGAGACAGGUGCUGCAUGGCUGUCGUCAGCUCGUGCCG